ACUACUGUUAACUGUAAAAACACAUGGAAAAUGAAAAUAAAAACAACUGUCAAAGUGUCAAUUUAAUAAACAUAAACUUUAAAGUUUUGCAAUGCAAAAUUUGCAUAGAAAACCUCAAACCAAUAUAUUACACACAUGUGAAACAUCCACCUCAUUAAUUCAUCUGAAAAAGUUAUCAUAUAAAAAUUAAAACCACUGGAAAUAGAAAAUACAAAUAUUUCCGGUUUUUGUAAAUCAUAUUUACAUUACAUUGCACAUUGUUCAGCAGUUCAGCACAAGUUGUAACUUGUAAAUGAAAACUGAUAACCACAGAUUAUAGAAAUCGGGAUGUCAAAAGCAAGACGACUUUAUCGAUGCAAAAUCUGCGGAAUUUUCCUUUCUAGAAGGGAAAAAAUUUUAUCACAUUUCUUCGACAGACAUAGUUCGGGUCAGGACUCGUUUGAAGAGGUGGUGCUGCCAGAUCUGAAAAUCAACGUGACAAGACAGCGGACAACAACAAACAAAAAUGUACCAGAAACGAUACUACUACCCGACAAUAUGCCCAUAAAAUUUGAGCCUAAUUACGAAGAUUUAGAAAAUAUUGCAAGUCCUAAUUUUACUUUUGGUGAGGAUGAUGAUGACAGCAGUGCAAAUGAGAAAUACUCAUUUCGCAUAAACCCGGACAUUACCGUACGAGAAGAUUCAGAAUUAAUUAAUCAAAGUGUUAAGGCUGAAGACACCCCUCCUACCAGACGAACUUUGAGACCACGAAACCGAAGGAAAAUUAGGGAACGUGCAAAUUCUGACAAGGACGAGGAGCAAGACGACGAGAGUAGGGACAAUGAAUUUCAGGUUGGUGAACCAGACCAUGAAUUCGACUCGGAAGAUGACCAAUUCUUGGAACACAACACUAAACCAAAGCGGAAACGAAAGUCCAUUAGCACCAAGAUUAACAUUAACAAUGGCGUUGCAUUGAUGACAACCAAGAUUAAACUUGACGACGCCGUAGCAAAGGUCAAUGGCAAUAAAACACCGUCCAGUAGGAAGAAGAAUAGCUGUCCGUACUGUCCAGCUAAAUUGACUAGCGUUCUCCGUUUAGACGUUCAUAUACAACAAGUUCAUCAAGGUGUUGAGCCCUUCAAGUGUGAAAUUUGUCAAAAAUCGUUCAAAAGCUUUAGGGCUGUCCUUCUCCACAUCGACAUUAGACAUCAACCCCACACAACUAUCGCACCUCAACAAACCGAUCAUGACCAAGACUCUGCUCUGUCGAAUCAUAAACUCGACACGGAACAUUUAUUUGACAAAAUUUUCAAAGUUGAAGAAUUCCAGACUAACACAGAAGUUCUUCAAAUUGAACCAGAAACUAUACCAGAAGAAUAUACCCGAAAAAAGAAAAAGAGCUACGAAGGAAAAUUCUGCUGCAAACAUUGUCGUUAUCACUUUGCACAAGAGUGGGUCCUUAAUGCUCACAUUCUGCGCUAUCAUUACGGGGAUAAAAAUGCAUUUCCUUGCGAUCACUGUUCGAGAAGGUUCCAAAGAAAAACCAAGCUUUACAUGCAUCGUAAAAUCUCUCAUCCUUCUAUUUCCACCCCCUACACAGGACCGAAAAUUUCCUUACAAGAACAAAUAUUCCAACUAAAAUCUAGAGGAUUAAAGGAUAAAAUCAAACCUUACCCUUCUGUAAAAUCUGCCCCCGUGGAAAAAUUUACUUGUAAAAUUUGCCAAGUUACUCUUCCGUCCCGUACGAGUUGUGAAAUCCACUUGUCCCGUGUACACCAAACCGACCAGACAAAAUUAUUUCCCUGUGAUAAAUGUGACCUGAUCUUCCUGACCGAGUCAGGUCGGAAAAUCCAUCUCGACCACUUUCACGAGAAAAACAUCUCGACCAAAUUACACCCAUUGGUAUGUUCGGUAUGCAACAAAGAAUGUGCAAGCGUACUAGCCUUCUCUCGACAUCAGGAAAUCUUUCACUCUAAUUGCCCUCGUCUCCCGAAAGAACACCUGUGCGAACUAUGCUCCCAAGCCUUUACCAUAUUAUUUGACCUCAAACAACACCAGGUUCGCGUCCAUCACGCCGAGUUGGGAGUGGAUCCCUUAAAGUGUUCGCAUUGUGGGAAAGUAUUAAAUUCAAAGAGAAGUUUGAAAAGUCACGAAGCUUUGCAUGGCGACACUCUUCCCUUCGUUUGCACUCGAGCCCCUUGUACGAGAGGAUUUUUACAAGAGGCAGAUUUAGAACGACAUGUCAAAGCGGUCCACCUCAAGGAAAAGAACUUUGUGUGCGAAUUUUGCUCCAAGGCGUUUGCUCAGAAACCAAAUCUGAUAACGCACUUGAGAACACACACGGGUGAAAAGCCCUACAAGUGUAAGUCGUGUGGGAAAGAGUUUUCUGAUAAGCCGACGUACAACAGACAUGUUCAAAUUCAUGGGGAUACCGUUCACACGUGUGACAAGUGUGGGAAGAAGUUUAAGGUGUGGCAUACGUACAAGGUUCAUCUAAAGACGCACAAUUAGUUGAUUAAUUAAGGUCUUGACUGUAAUGAUUUUAUAUUUAUUGCGAAUAUUGUGAGUAAUUCAAUGUUUAGAAAAGUACAAUUUAUAUUGCAAUUUUCAAAUUGUUUUUAAAAACAAACUAAUCUGGGUAAUAAAUAAAUGUUUUACUACCUCAUUUCUCGUUACUUAUGUGGAAUCUAUCUAUAAUCAUUUAAAGUUGCAUUUAGUUAAUCCACAUAAAAUUUAACUUGCAAAUAAAAUAAAAAUUCAGCCGUGAGUUUGACUUCAUCUACUAUUCAUGGUGGGCAUUAUUAUUUAUUUAGCAUUUACUUUGCAUAACGGUGGAUUGUUUUAGUCAUUUAGUAACUAAUGACACAAUUUCCAUUACGUGACAUUUUCGAUAUAUGUCAUACUGAAUAACCUUAAUUUUGUAUUAUGCAUAUGUAUGUAUUUGCUUUCUAAUUUGAAGCUUUGACAGAAGUAUUGUAGUUUCCAAACCUGCCUAUCAUCUACUUAAGUAUGUAUGUACAUGCAUAUUUUAGAUGUGUGAUAUAUAUUUCGAACGACAGUGUACAUAUUUCUGCCUAUUACAUAAUUGAUUUGUAUAAAGAUAUUGUAAAUAUACGAAUUUCACUUCCGUAAUUUGUGACAAAAAAUUGAUUGAAACUUUCUUGAUUAACGUAGUUCCUCUGUUGUAUGUAUUUGUUUGUGAAUCACAAGUUGCGAUUGCAAAAAAUAUAUAUUUGCACUUUAGCUUCAAUAGUAGAUAUUUUCAAAAAUUAAUUAAUUUCACAUAUGUAUGAAACCUUUCAUCGAAAAUCAAAACGGUUUGAUCUAAUUAAAUACUUGCGAACAGUAAUGUUACUCUUAUAUAAAUUGUUUACUCCAAGUCAGUAAAACGCAAUAAAACAUAAAUUCCA
This is an RNA transcript of Folsomia candida, 3389 nucleotides long. It is a transcript of the gene named zinc finger protein 492, with no coding region annotated. NCBI's taxonomy places the organism in Eukaryota, Metazoa, Arthropoda, Collembola, Entomobryomorpha, Isotomidae. The record is from RefSeq and is a predicted model, not a curated record. The transcript has 7 exons.